GCCAGACUCCUACGGGAGGCAGCAGUGGGGAAUAUUGCACAAUGGGGGAAACCCUGAUGCAGCGACGCCGCGUGAGCGAUGAAGUAUUUCGGUAUGUAAAGCUCUCUCAGCAGGGAAGAAAAUGACGGUACCUGACUAAGAAGCCCCGGCUAACUACGUGCCGGCAGCCGCGGUAAUACGUAGGGGGCAAGCGUUAUCCGGAUUUACUGGGUGUAAAGGGAGCGUAGACGGCAAUGCAAGCCAGAUGUGAAAGCCCGGGGCUCAACCCCGGGACUGCAUUUGGAACUGUGUAGCUGGAGUGUCGGAGAGGCAGGCGGAAUUCCUGGUGCAGCGGUGAAAUGCGUAGAUAUCAGGAGGAACACCGGUGGCGAAGGCGGCCUGCUGGACUGCAACUGACGUUGAGGCCCGAAAGCGUGGGGAGCAAACAGGAUUAGAUACCCCCGUA
This 445-nucleotide ribosomal RNA is filed under the name uncultured bacterium. RNAcentral describes it as "partial 16S ribosomal RNA". It matches the Rfam family "Bacterial small subunit ribosomal RNA", at positions 330 to 792 of the family's 1533-position model. The record is from RNAcentral.